RNAcentral lists this ribosomal RNA (447 nucleotides) under uncultured bacterium. Its description in RNAcentral is "partial 16S ribosomal RNA". It matches the Rfam family "Bacterial small subunit ribosomal RNA", at positions 355 to 794 of the family's 1533-position model. The record is from RNAcentral.
UGGGGAAUUUUGGACAAUGGGGGCAACCCUGAUCCAGCAAUGCCGCGUGUGUGAAGAAGGCCUUCGGGUUGUAAAGCACUUUUGUCCGGGAAGAAAUCGCCCUGGCUAAUAUCCGGGGUGGAUGACGGUACUGGAAGAAUAAGCACCGGCUAACUACGUGCCAGCAGCCGCGGUAAUACGUAGGGUGCGAGCGUUAAUCGGAAUUACUGGGCGUAAAGCGUGCGCAGGCGGUUGUGCAAGACAGAUGUGAAAUCCCCGGGCUUAACCUGGGAAUGGCAUUUGUGACUGCACGGCUAGAGUGUGUCAGAGGGGGGUAGAAUUCCACGUGUAGCAGUGAAAUGCGUAGAUAUGUGGAGGAACACCGAUGGCGAAGGCAGCCCCCUGGGAUAACACUGACGCUCAUGCACGAAAGCGUGGGGAGCAAACAGGAUUAGAUACCCUGGUAGU